GGCACUUUGCCAGAGUGGUUAAUGGGUGAGACUCGAAUCUUUCCUAGAUAUCUCAUGGCUUCGGCCGCGCAGGUUCGAGUCCUGCAGGUGUCG
Molecule: non-coding RNA, 93 nt
Organism: Aulographum hederae CBS 113979
Lineage: Eukaryota; Fungi; Ascomycota; Dothideomycetes; Aulographales; Aulographaceae
Source: the annotation of a GenBank genome assembly